Molecule: ribosomal RNA, 867 nt
Filed under: Triticum aestivum (bread wheat)
Lineage: Eukaryota; Viridiplantae; Streptophyta; Magnoliopsida; Poales; Poaceae
Description: partial small subunit ribosomal RNA
Source: RNAcentral
AUGGCAACAUUUCACAUCACCACCCUAAGCAUACCAAAGGGGACCCUACGUAAGGUUGACAAAAUAAUACGCGACUUCGUCUGGAAAAAAGAGGACAAAACUCAGACAUCUGGUGGGCACGCCUUGGUUAGCUAGAAGACGGUCUGUCGCCCCAAGCAUCUGGGCGGUCUUGGGAUCAUGGACCUUGAGAGAUUUGGCCGGGCACUUCACCUCCGUUGGCCUUGGCUUCAAUGGACGGACCCAGACAGGCCUUGGGUGGGUUCUGAGCUGCCCUGCGACCAAGCUGACCUGAUCCUAUUUCGCGCCUGCACUACCAUCUCGUUGGGCAAUGGGGAAAAUGCUCUCUUCUGGCAUGACAACUGGAGUGGUAAAGGGCCCCUCAAGCUUAUUGCACCUGAGCUUUUCAAGAUAGCCUCCAGGAAAAACAGAACGGUGCACGAAGAAUUAUCGAACGAGAGUUGGAUCAGGGCAGUCUCUAGCCUUCGGUCCAUGCACCAGCUGGGGGAAUUCGUGUCUAUAUGGGAGUGGAUCAGCCAGACCACCCUGUUACCGACCAACGAGGACCACAUUUCCUGGAACCUGACUACCAACGGGGCUUACUCCUCUGCGUCGGUGUAUGGGGCGCAAUUCUAUGGCUCUCAUCCUAGGUUUAACCCCCCCAAGGUCUGGUCCGCUCAUGCCAAACCCAAGUGCAAAUUCUUCGCCUGGCUCGCCCUCCAUGGGAGGAUUUUGACUGCGGACAGGUUGGCAUUGCGUGGCUGGCCGCAUGACCCCAGAUGCCAGCUCUGCCUUCAGGAGCCAGAAACUGCAAGCCAUCUCUGCAAGGACUGCCCCUUUUGUGACGCCCGGAUAAUUGUGCUACAGUAA